Molecule: ribosomal RNA, 465 nt
Filed under: Vreelandella stevensii
Lineage: Bacteria; Pseudomonadati; Pseudomonadota; Gammaproteobacteria; Oceanospirillales; Halomonadaceae
Description: partial 16S ribosomal RNA
Rfam family: Bacterial small subunit ribosomal RNA
Source: RNAcentral
CCUACGGGUGGCAGCAGUGGGGAAUAUUGGACAAUGGGGGCAACCCUGAUCCAGCCAUGCCGCGUGUGUGAAGAAGGCCCUCGGGUUGUAAAGCACUUUCAGUGAGGAAGAACGCCUGGUGGUUAAUACCCAUCAGGAAAGACAUCACUCACAGAAGAAGCACCGGCUAACUCCGUGCCAGCAGCCGCGGUAAUACGGAGGGUGCGAGCGUUAAUCGGAAUUACUGGGCGUAAAGCGCGCGUAGGUGGCUUGAUAAGCCGGUUGUGAAAGCCCCGGGCUCAACCUGGGAACGGCAUCCGGAACUGUCAAGCUAGAGUGCAGGAGAGGAAGGUAGAAUUCCCGGUGUAGCGGUGAAAUGCGUAGAGAUCGGGAGGAAUACCAGUGGCGAAGGCGGCCUUCUGGACUGACACUGACACUGAGGUGCGAAAGCGUGGGUAGCAAACAGGAUUAGAUACCUUUGUAGUC